UCGGCGCGAUUCGCCUUGGCUCAGUAACACGUAGCUAACCUACCCUUAGGACGUUUAUACCCCCGAGAAAUUGGGGCUAAUGAACGAUAGAUGUGAUGUCCUGGAAUGGUAUUACGUCUAAAAGUAUAUCAUACAUGUUUGAUAUACGCCUAAGGACGGGGCUGCGGCUGAUCAGGCUGUUGGUGAGGUAAUGGCUCACCAAACCAUUGACCAGUACGGGCCAUGAGAGUGGUAGCCCGGAGAUGGACACUGAGACAAGGGUCCAGGCCCUACGGGGCGCAGCAGGCGCGAAACCUCCUCAAUGCACUAAAGUGCGAAGGGGUUACCUCGAGUGCCAUCUGAUGAAGGUGGCUUUUCCUUGGUCUAAAAAGCCUAGGGAAUAAGAGGGGGGCAAGACUGGUGUCAGCCGCCGCGGUAACACCAGCCCCUCGAGUGGUGGGGAUGAUUAUUUGGCCUAAAGCGUCCGUAGCCGGCCGAGUAAGUUUCCCGUUAAAUCCAACGUCUCAAGCGUUGGACUGCGGGAAAUACUGCUUGGCUAGAGAGUGGGAGAGGUCAGCGGUAUUCUGGGGGUAGGGGCGAAAUCCUUUGAUCCCCGGAGGACCACCAGUGGCGAAGGCUGCUGACUAGAACACGUCUGACGGUCAGGGACGAAAGCUGGGGUAGCGAACCGGAUUAGAUACCCGGGUAGUCCCAGCCGUAAACGAUGCAUGCUACGUGUUGGGUUGGCCACGAGCCACCCCAGUGCCGCAGGAAGCCGUUAAGCAUGCCGCCUGGGAAGUACGAUCGCAGAUUGAACUUAAGAAUUAGCGGGGGAGCACAGACGAUCGUUAACUGCAGACUAGUCCUUAGUGAGGUGAUUCUGAGCUGCGUAAUCAUGUCAUAGCUGUUCUUGUGUGAAAUGUAUCGCUCCAUUCCACAACAUCAGCCGAGCUAUGUAAGGCCUUGGGGCUAUGA
RNAcentral lists this ribosomal RNA (954 nucleotides) under uncultured archaeon. RNAcentral describes it as "bacterial SSU rRNA". It matches the Rfam family "Archaeal small subunit ribosomal RNA", at positions 70 to 983 of the family's 1478-position model. The record is from RNAcentral.